Long non-coding RNA from Gambusia affinis (western mosquitofish), 600 nucleotides. RefSeq lists it as uncharacterized. The transcript is spliced from 5 exons. NCBI's taxonomy places the organism in Eukaryota, Metazoa, Chordata, Actinopteri, Cyprinodontiformes, Poeciliidae. The record is from RefSeq and is a predicted model, not a curated record.
GAGCUGAACUGCUAUCCUGCUUGAUUGUUGAUGUCCAGAGAGCAAGAGAAUGAUGAGGAUGGCCAAAAGAUUGCCUUUGGGCCAUGAAAGAGCUGGUCUCUGUCCCUGUAGCGAGCACAUAAAAGGAAUGGAACACCCUGGACAAAUCACUAGUCUAUCAUAGUACUGUGAUCUGCCAUUUGUGAGUGAUCCAACUCAUUAGAGAGAAUAAGCUUCAAAGGCUGCAUUGGUAAGGAUGCACACAUGAAUGUCUGGAUCUCGCCAGUCGUGCAAAGGACUACAUCUUCAAAGAAACCUUGGAUCUCAGGCAAUCGGACCUGAAACUCUCCUCCAGCUCUGUAAUGGGUACUGCAGACUGUGGGCCUCACUAAUGCAGCCCCUGAGCCCCGGCCCCGCUUAGCAAGAGUCAUCCCUGAAAGACAACGAAAGGGUAGAUAGCAGAGGGUUAGACCAAAGCAAUCUGCCACCUACAUAUCAUGUCAUCAUGGAAAGAAGACAAGGACACGUGUGUCUGAGCCGGACCACAUGACACCUGAUGGUUGUGUGCACAUUUCUUUCAGUUUAAGUGUGUGUGUGUGUGUAGUUUAAGUGUCCCUUUGC